This 468-nucleotide ribosomal RNA is filed under the name uncultured bacterium. RNAcentral describes it as "partial 16S ribosomal RNA". It matches the Rfam family "Bacterial small subunit ribosomal RNA", at positions 28 to 507 of the family's 1533-position model. The record is from RNAcentral.
GACGAACGCUGGCGGCGUGCUUAACACAUGCAAGUCGAACGGAAAGGCCCUGCUUUUGUGGGGUGCUCGAGUGGCGAACGGGUGAGUAACACGUGAGUAACCUGCCCUUGACUUUGGGAUAACUUCAGGAAACUGGGGCUAAUACCGGAUAGGAGCUCCUGCUGCAUGGUGGGGGUUGGAAAGUUUCGGCGGUUGGGGAUGGACUCGCGGCUUAUCAGCUUGUUGGUGGGGUAGUGGCUUACCAAGGCUUUGACGGGUAGCCGGCCUGAGAGGGUGACCGGCCACAUUGGGACUGAGAUACGGCCCAGACUCCUACGGGAGGCAGCAGUGGGGAAUAUUGCACAAUGGGCGGAAGCCUGAUGCAUCAACGCCGCGUGCGGGAUGACGGCCCUCGGGUUGUAAACCGCUUUCGCCUGUGACGAAGCGUGAGUGACGGUAAUGGGUAAAGAAGCACCGGCUAACUACGUG